CUCCGGUUGAUCCUGCCGGACCCGACUGCUAUCAGAGUGGGACUAAGCCAUGCGAGUCAACAUAGCAAUAUGUGGCAUACGGCUCAGUAACACGUAGUCAACAUGCCCAGGGGACGUGGAUAACCUCGGGAAACUGAGGAUAAACCGCGAUAGGUCAUCACUUCUGGAAUGGGUAAUGACUUAAAUCUAUAUGGCCCCUGGAUUGGACUGCGGCCGAUCAGGCUGUUGGUGAGGUAAUGGCCCACCAAACCUGUAACCGGUACGGGCUCUGAGAGGAGGAGCCCGGAGAUGGGCACUGAGACAAGGGCCCAGGCCCUAUGGGGCGCAGCAGGCGCGAAACCUCUGCAAUAGGCGAAAGCUUGACAGGGUUACUCUGAGUGAUUUCCGUUAAGGAGAUCUUUUGGCACCUCUAAAAAUGGUGCAGAAUAAGGGGCGGGCAAGUCUGGUGUCAGCCGCCGCGGUAAUACCAGCACCCCGAGUGGUCGGGACGUUUAUUGGGCCUAAAGCAUCCGUAGCCGGUUCUACAAGUCUUCCGUUAAAUCCACCUGCUUAACAGAUGGGCUGCGGAAGAUACUAUAGAGCUAGGAGGCGGGAGAGGCAAGCGGUACUCGAUGGGUAGGGGUAAAAUCCGUUGAUCCAUUGAAGACCACCAGUGGCGAAGGCGGCUUGCCAGAACGCGCUCGACGGUGAGGGAUGAAAGCUGGGGGAGCAAACCGGAUUAGAUACCCGGGUAGUCCCAGCUGUAAACGAUGCAGACUCGGUGAUGAGUUGGCUUAUUGCUAACUCAGUGCCGCAGGGAAGCCGUUAAGUUUGCCGCCUGGGGAGUACGGUCGCAAGACUGAAACUUAAAGGAAUUGGCGGGGGAGCA
Molecule: ribosomal RNA, 868 nt
Filed under: uncultured archaeon
Lineage: Archaea
Description: bacterial SSU rRNA
Rfam family: Archaeal small subunit ribosomal RNA
Source: RNAcentral